UACGAAGGGUGCAAGCGUUGCUCGGAAUCACUGGGCGUAAAGGGUGCGUAGGCGGGUCUUUAAGUCAGGGGUGAAAUCCUGGAGCUCAACUCCAGAACUGCCUUUGAUACUGAGGAUCUUGAGUUCGGGAGAGGUUGGUGGAAUUCCGAGUGUAGAGGUGAAAUUCGUAGAUAUUCGGAGGAACACCAGAAGCGAAGGCGGCCAACUGGCCCGAUACUGACGCUGAGGCGCGAAAGCGUGGGGAGCAAACAGG
RNAcentral lists this ribosomal RNA (253 nucleotides) under uncultured bacterium. RNAcentral's name for it is "partial 16S ribosomal RNA". It matches the Rfam family "Bacterial small subunit ribosomal RNA", at positions 524 to 776 of the family's 1533-position model. The record is from RNAcentral.